Molecule: long non-coding RNA, 300 nt
Organism: Archocentrus centrarchus (flier cichlid)
Lineage: Eukaryota; Metazoa; Chordata; Actinopteri; Cichliformes; Cichlidae
Exons: 3
Source: RefSeq, a predicted model, not a curated record
UCUGGACCUCAGACCCCGCCUCCGUGAAGCAGAGUGGCUAUUUGGGCCGUCAGUGGUGAGGCUUUAUAACCAAGGUUGACUGCCUGGCUCGAGCCAAAUAUCUGUCAGCCUGUAAUCAGGGCAAAGAGGCCGGCAAUAUCAGUCGCUCCCUCAUGUGCCUUGGCCAAGUGAUCAUGGCACUCGUGGACGUGUCUAAUGGGAAGAACCGCCACAUCUGCUACAGGAAUUCAAAGCUCACUUUUCUUCUCAGGAACUCCCUUGGAGGCAAUGCCAAGACUUGCAUCAUAGCCAACGUGCACC